This 217-nucleotide long non-coding RNA is filed under the name Bos taurus (domestic cattle). Its description in RNAcentral is "long non-coding RNA NONBTAT013668". Lineage: Eukaryota; Metazoa; Chordata; Mammalia; Artiodactyla; Bovidae. The record is from RNAcentral.
UUGACCACAUGCACUAAGAGAGGGAGCUGUGGAGGCCCAUUUGGGCUCCUGGCCCCCCAACAGCCCUGCUUUCAUUAGGUGACCACCUACCAGGGGUCAGUCUAGCCCCUGAGUUGGGUGCUGCAGCUACAGAAAAGGGGCACCAUUGUCUCUGCAGUGGAGGAGCUCAAUUCUCCCUGCAAGUUCAGUCCCAUUUCUGCAGAAGUGUCGACUCCUG